Molecule: long non-coding RNA, 740 nt
Organism: Eriocheir sinensis (Chinese mitten crab)
Lineage: Eukaryota; Metazoa; Arthropoda; Malacostraca; Decapoda; Varunidae
Exons: 4
Source: RefSeq, a predicted model, not a curated record
UAAUAUUCAGCCCCAGCAUCAAAAAAUUAUACUGCUGCCCUAUGAAAGGCAUCUCUUAACUCCGAUGAGGUAGGUGGUGACUGUGGUGGAGCAGCUUCAUUGUCAUCCCUUGCAGUGGCAGGUGUCAUUGGGCCAGCAGAUGAUGAAGCAGUGGCAGGUGUCAUAGGGCCAGCAGAUGAUGAAGCAGUGGCAGGUGUCAUAGGGCCAGCAGAUGUUGAAGCAGUGGCAGGUGUCAUAGGGCCAGCAGAUGUUGAAGCAGUGGCAGGUGUCAUAGGGCCAGCAGAUGUUGAAGCAGUGGCAGGUGUCAUAGGGCCAGCAGAUGAUGAAGCAGUGGCAGGUGUCAUAGGGCCAGCAGAUGAUGAAGCAGUGGCAGGUGUCAUAGGGCCAGCAGAUGUUGAAGCAGUGGCAGGUGUCAUAGGGCCAGCAGAUGAUGAAGCAGUGGCAGGUGUCAUUGGGCCAGCAGAUGAUGAAGCAGUGGCAGGUGUCAUAGGGCCAGCAGAUGAUGAAGCAGUGGCAGGUGUCAUAGGGCCAGCAGAUGUUGAAGCAGUGGCAGGUGUCAUAGGGCCAGCAGAUGUUGAAGCAGUGGCAGGUGUCAUAGGGCCAGCAGAUGUUGAAGCAGUGGCAGGUGUCAUAGGGCCAGCAGAUGUUGAAGCAGUGGCAGGUGUCAUAGGGCCAGCAGAUGAUGAAGCAGUGGCUGGUGUCAUAGGGCCAGCAGAUGUUGAAGCAGGGGCUGUUGCCGG